RNAcentral lists this unclassified non-coding RNA (372 nucleotides) under uncultured Bacteroidia bacterium. RNAcentral describes it as "contains 16S-23S intergenic spacer region". The record is from RNAcentral. Lineage: Bacteria; Pseudomonadati; Bacteroidota; Bacteroidia.
UCACCGCUUACGCGGGCAGUUCCACUAGAGUCCCCGGCAUUAUCCGCUGGCAACUAAUGGUAGGGGUUGCGCUCGUUGCGGGACUUAACCCAACACCUCACGGCACGAGCUGACGACGGCCAUGCAGCACCUCGCAAAUUGUCCGAAGAAGGACCGGUUUCCCGAUCUGUCAAAAUGCGUUCAAGUCCAGGUAAGGUUCCGCGCGUAUCAUCGAAUUAAACCACAUGCUCCUCCGCUUGUGCGGGCCCCCGUCAAUUCCUUUGAGUUUCAACCUUGCGAUCGUACUCCCCAGGUGGAUAACUUAACGCUUUCGCUUGGCCGCUGACCGUAUAUCGCCAACAGCGAGUUAUCAUCGUUUACGGCGUGGACUAC